AUUGAACGCUGGCGGCAUGCUUAAGACAUGCAAGUCGAACGGUAACGAUAUCUAGCUUGCUAGAUAGGCGACGAGUGGCGGACGGGUGAGUACAACUUAGGAAUCUGCCUAGUAGCUGGGGAUAACUCGGAGAAAUCCGAGCUAAUACCGAAUACGCCCUACGGGGGAAAGCGGGGGAUCUUCGGACCUCGCACUAUUAGAUGAGCCUAAGCCGGAUUAGCUUGUUGGUGGGGUAAUGGCCUACCAAGGCAACGAUCCGUAGCUGGUCUGAGAGGACGAUCAGCCACACUGGGACUGAGACACGGCCCAGACUCCUACGGGAGGCAGCAGUCGGGAAUAUUGGACAAUGGGCGAAAGCCUGAUCCAGCAAUGCCGCGUGUGUGAAGAAGGCCUGCGGGUUGUAAAGCACUUUCAAAAGUGAAGAAAAGUUGGUUGUUAAUAGCAGCUAGCCUUGACGUUAACUUUAGAAGAAGCACCGGCUAAUUUAG
This 488-nucleotide ribosomal RNA is filed under the name uncultured Gammaproteobacteria bacterium. RNAcentral describes it as "bacterial SSU rRNA". It matches the Rfam family "Bacterial small subunit ribosomal RNA", at positions 30 to 505 of the family's 1533-position model. The record is from RNAcentral. Lineage: Bacteria; Pseudomonadati; Pseudomonadota; Gammaproteobacteria.